AUGCUCACUUCUGCAGCACAUACACUGAAAUUGGAAUGAUACAGAGAUUAGCAUGGCCCCUGUGCAAGGAUGACAUUCAAACUGGUGAAGUGUUCCAUAUUUUU
Small nuclear RNA from Cynocephalus volans (Philippine flying lemur), 104 nucleotides. NCBI's taxonomy places the organism in Eukaryota, Metazoa, Chordata, Mammalia, Dermoptera, Cynocephalidae. The record is from RefSeq and is a predicted model, not a curated record.